GACGAACCGUGCGAACGUUGUUCGGAAUCACUGGGCUUAAAGGGCGCGUAGGCGGAUUGCCAAGUCUGUGGUGAAAUCCUCUGGCUUAACCAGAGAACUGCCGCGGAUACUGGUGAUCUCGAGGGAGGUAGGGGUGUGUGGAACUGUGCGUGGAGCGGUGAAAUGCGUUGAUAUGCACAGGAACUCCGGUGGCGAAGGCGACACACUGGACCUCUUCUGACGCUGAGGCGCGAAAGCUAGGGGAGCGAACGGG
Molecule: ribosomal RNA, 253 nt
Filed under: uncultured bacterium
Lineage: Bacteria
Description: partial 16S ribosomal RNA
Rfam family: Bacterial small subunit ribosomal RNA
Source: RNAcentral